GUUGGGAGAGACCAGUGUCCUAAGUCCUGUGGGGACAUACUGAGUUUAUCCCGAAGCAGAAAGGAAGCAGUGCUGGGUUUUGAUAACGAGUAGGCAACUUUGUCCUGAACCCAAGACCUGAGACAGAGCUCUGAAAAUUUCCAAGGGCAUUGUCCAGAACAGUAAGCACCAAGUCCUUGCACUAUCAGACCCUCCCGGGACAGUCUUGCCAGCAGGCCUGGGCCACACCAGAGGCGGAAGAGGCGGGUCAUCAGCUGCUCACUUCUCUCCAGCCCUGGAAGCCAGAAGCUGGGGGCUGGAGAGAGGGAAGACACUCUAAACUGGAUGGAAACCUUUCAAAGGUUUGACAUGACAACUCACAGGAUUUUUUAAUUAUUAAAAUGAGACUGAUCUUGGGACUACAUGCGGCUGGAGGGCUUUCAGUUAUCUGGGAAUGAUGGACCAAAAAAAAAAACAAACCAACCAUACAACGACGGGACUUUCCUCAAUUCAUUCAGGACAAGUCAACAAAGAAGCGUAAAGGGAGUUACAGGGCAUGUUGUUGCUUCCUGCUUCUCUGAUUCUCCCUGUGUGCUAGAAGAUAUUUGCCUUUCAGAUGGGUUUUUCUGGCAUUGGUGAGGGGAGAUGAUCAACAGCAGGAGGGUGAGCUGAGAGACAAGCCGGGAAUGGCCUGGCAGGUUGCACUGAUCAUCCACACCACAGCGCUGCUCCGGAUUUUCCCAAGAGCACAGCCAACCCCGUUGCCUGGCCCCAAAGGCCUCUUGGAGUCAGGGAAGAGAGGUGCCCCGCAGAACUGCACAAUCUCUGGGGCAGAGGAAAGUACGCUACGUCUGGCAGGCCAUGAAGAAGCACAGGGGGCGUUACCCACUCACGGCUGCACAGCCUGCUUAGCCAGGCCUGCCCAGGGCCCUCUCCACUUGAGAACAAGACAUUCUUUUAUCCUGGAAUCACCACCAGGAGUCCCCCGGAGGAGCAUCCUCAUGACAGCAGUUCCAUGGGCAGGGACAGGGUCCUUUCUGCUGGCACAGCGUCCACCACUGCCCUGUCUCCUGAGUCCCUGCGGGGCCCAGCAAAGAAGGAGUGUGUGUGAUGUCUGCAGAGCCGUGACAGACCCAGCAUGCGGCGGCAGGAGAAACCUUUCGUUGGUAAAAGCAAUACAACCCUUAUCAAGUUUCGGCUGCUUCCUCCUGUGGGAGGGAGGGCAGGGAGACGCACCAGCUCCUGAGAAACUGGGUGCCUCCCCACAUCCUUCCCACCCCACCCCACCCCCAACCACCAUUUCAGGGCCCUCCCAGCACACACAUUGCCCUGGAAACCAGAAUAAUUCCCCUAACAGCACACUAUUCCCACGGCAUUCAGGAACUCUCGGUGGAGAUGUGUUGGGGACAAUUGUGAUUGUUUUUACAGAUGAGGAAACUAGAAGAGAAAGAGCAAGUGCGUUUGCUGCAGUAAAGAGUUUCCAUAAUAACCUGAAUUGCCACUGUGCCGCCUUUUAAACGAGCCUGGAAAAGUAAGAACCCAAAUUCUCAGGACAGAGAAGUCAGGGGCUUAUGGGUCAUUUCACAAAAGGAGUCAGCAGUGGCUCUAUCUCAAUGGGGCCCUGCCCUGAUGCUCCUGAAAGGACCAAGCUCAGCCUCCAAGGGAAGAGGGGAGGGGACACACUCCCAGCCCCCAGGCCUCCCAUCCUGCAGAACAGGACAGAUAGAGAAGCGGGAGGAGGCAGCACACAGCUUCCGAAGUUCAGGCCCCACACAAGCCAGCGGGCCGAUGCCAGGGGCAGAGGCGGGGCCCGGGAGUCCCAGAUCAACACACAACAGCCCUGAUGCCAGGAGACUGGCAAUGAGAGACAAACAAAACGCUGCCAGAUACCUUUGCAUUUAUUCUAAGUGCAAUGUGCAGACUUAGCUUUACCACCAUAAAAGCCCAAAAAGAGGGUGUCAUAUUCUGGGCAAGCCCUGUAAUUUUCUCUCCUGCAACCUCCCUGGUGACCCACAGGAAGCCAUCUGUGCCCAGCAGGGUGUGGCCUGUCUGCUCUGUACCCACCCCCGUCCCCAGGGAGGCUCCCUCCCUGCUGCCCUCACCAGUUACACUGAGACCCCCA
Molecule: long non-coding RNA, 2101 nt
Organism: Macaca nemestrina (pig-tailed macaque)
Lineage: Eukaryota; Metazoa; Chordata; Mammalia; Primates; Cercopithecidae
Source: Ensembl